Molecule: ribosomal RNA, 425 nt
Filed under: uncultured bacterium
Lineage: Bacteria
Description: partial 16S ribosomal RNA
Rfam family: Bacterial small subunit ribosomal RNA
Source: RNAcentral
GUGGGGAAUAUUGGACAAUGGGCGCAAGCUUGAUCCAGCAAUGCCGCGUGAGUGAUGAAGGCCUUAGGGUUGUAAAGCUCUUUUACCAGGGAUGAUAAUGACAGUACCUGGAGAAUAAGCUCCGGCUAACUCCGUGCCAGCAGCCGCGGUAAUACGGAGGGAGCUAGCGUUGUUCGGAAUUACUGGGCGUAAAGCGCACGUAGGCGGUUACUCAAGUCAGAGGUGAAAGCCCGGGGCUCAACCCCGGAACUGCCUUUGAAACUAGGUAACUAGAAUCUUGGAGAGGUCAGUGGAAUUCCGAGUGUAGAGGUGAAAUUCGUAGAUAUUCGGAAGAACACCAGUGGCGAAGGCGACUGACUGGACAAGUAUUGACGCUGAGGUGCGAAAGCGUGGGGAGCAAACAGGAUUAGAUACCCGAGUAGUCC